Molecule: unclassified non-coding RNA, 212 nt
Filed under: plant metagenome
Description: partial contains small subunit ribosomal RNA, internal transcribed spacer 1, and 5.8S ribosomal RNA
Source: RNAcentral
UUUCCGUAGGUGAACCUGCGGAAGGAUCAUUCAUAAUAAGUGUUUUAUGGCACUUUUUUAAAUCCACAUCACCUUGUGUGCAAUGUCAGGGUUGAUUUUUCUCUCGAGAGGAUCAGCCCCAAACAUCAACUAUAUCUCAACUCUUUGUCUGAAGAAUAUUAUGAAUAAAACAAUUCAAAAUACAACUUUCAACAACGGAUCUCUUGGCUCUC